AAAAUAGAAAGAGAAUAGAAAGAGCAAAGAAAGAGAAACAUAAAUAUGAUAAAACAAAGUAAAAAAAGAAAAAAUGAGUUCGACGGUUCGAUCGAAACGAAUAAAGGAAUAAAUAAAAAGUUUGAUAAAGAUAUAAUUUAUGAACAAAUACAUUCUUUACCAACACAAAAUAAUCCUAGAUGUUUAGUCAGUUCAAAUCCAAAAGACAAUUUGUUAAAUUAUUUUUCUACAAUAAUAAAAUUUAAAUAUAAUGAUAACAAUUUUAAAAAAAAAUGGUAUACACAUUUGUACAAAAUAUGUCUCCAAAAUGAUAAUAAACAUACAACUUAUGAUAAAAACAUUAAAAAUCAUAAACACAAAAAUAAAAAUAAAAACGCAUAUACAACAUAUGAAAACAAUAUAGAUAAUACAUUAAACAAAUUUCAAGGAUUGGUAGUUAGAAAAUUAAAUUGUGAAACUUUAUAUUAUCAAAAAAUUUUAGUAAUUUUUGCUUUAUUAUUCGAUUUAUACCACAAUAAAAAAAAUGUUGUAUCUACACAAAAAAAAUUAUUAACAUGGGACGAAAAAUCAUUAAUGUUAGAUGAAGGUACUAACAAUAUAUAUGAUGAACGGACUACCAACAAUGGACAAAAUGCAGAUAACAAGUCGAUAUGCAAUAAUACCAGUAAUAAUACCACUAAUAAUACCAGUAAUAAUACCACUAAUAAUACCACUAAUAAUACCACUAAUAAUACCAGUAAUAAUAUGUAUAAAUCCAAAAAAAGAUCUUUAUCUAAAUUCCGUUACUUGCAUUAUGAUAAUGAAGAGGGUCGCGAACAAGGACACGAACAAAUACACAAACCGAUCGAAAGUUUUAAUAAAAAAAUAUUAACAAAUCAUGAUAUAAAUAAUGAAACAGAAAAUAAUAACAACGAAGUAACAAAAUAUAUGAAUGAUCCUAAAAAAUAUUAUAUUAUAGAAUUUAAAAAUAUUUUAUUUGUUGAAAAAAAAAAAUUUAAUAAUAUAGAACUUUUUUAUCAUAUAACUAAUUUUAUUAUACAUAAAUAUUGGUAUUCUAAAGAACAUACAGCUUAUAAUAUGUUUAUAUGGUUUUUAAAUUAUAUGAGUGUCAAAUUAGAAAUUAAAAAAUGUAUAAAUAAAAUAAAUGAACAAUUAGAAGUGUUUAUUGAUUUGCACCCCAAAAUUUUUAACAUUUCACAUGCAAAAAAGAAACGAAAAAAAGUUGACAUUUCUGGUCCUUCUUCUGCUAGUGGUAAUGGUUUUACUAGUCAUAUUGAUGGUACCGGUGGUUAUAAUACUGGAUAUGGAGGUAAUAAUACUGGAUAUGGAGGUAAUAAUACUGGAUAUGGNNNNNNNNNNUAUGGAGGUAAUAAUACUGGAUAUGGAGGUAAUAAUACUGGAUAUGGUGAUUAUAAUACCGGGUAUGAUGGUAAUAAUACCGGGUAUGAUAGUAACUACAUUGAAAGAAAUGAAAACAUUCAAUAUCAAUAUUUUGAAGGUGGAGUAUGUGAUUACCCAAGUUUAGAAAAUAGAUACAAACAAACUGGAGGUGGUUUUUCCAAUUUGUUAAAUUCGGAUAAUAAAAAUAAACAAACUAUGAAUAAUAUGAACAAUAUGAACAACAUGAAUAGCAUGAAUAAUAUGACUAAUUUAAAUUUGUUUCAGACAUCUACAAACAAUACAAAUACAGGAGGUCUUAACAUGUUUAAUAAUAAUAGUAAUAGUAAUAAAAAUAUUUUUGGUAAUUUUACUAAUAAUACUAUGAGCAGUACCAUGAAUAACACUAUGAGCGGUACCAUGAAUAACACUAUGAGCNNUACAAUGGAUAAUAAUAAUAACAUAAAUACAACAGACACAGGAAAUAAUAACAAAACAAACGAAUUAAACAAAAGUACGAUCAAUUUAUUUGGUUCUACAAAUAGACCAACUAAUAAUCCUAAUUAUGCCGAAUUAUUCACUAAUGAAACAGGAUCAAAAGAAUUAUUUAAAGACCUAAAACUUAGUAACGAUACAGGUUCUAAAUUUAGUGUUAAUAAAAGACCUUUAUUUGGUAGUAGAGCCAAAGAAACGAAUAUGUUAGUAUCUAAUAGUGCUACUACUAAUCUUGCUAGUAGAACUACUGACUUAAAUAGUACAAAUAAUAUCUUUAGUUCUUCUUAUGUAAAUAGAGACAAUUUAUUAACUAGUCAGGAAAAACCUAUGAAAGUUAUAUUUGGUCAACACAAUAAUACUACCACUAACAAUAACAACGUUUCUAAUACUGGCAUAGGUAGUAGAAAUAAAACUACUGGUUUUGGUAUAACAUCAGGUAGUUCCAUAUUUGGUGCAACAUCUAAUAAUAUGGCAAACAAUAACAAUCUUAUGAAUUCUUUAACAAAUAAUGUUGUUAAGGGUGGUAUAUUUAAUCAAGAAAACAACAGUAACAACAACGGCAGUGGCAUUAUUAGUGAUAAUAAUAAUAAUAAUAAUGUCAUUGCACAAUCAGAAACAAAUAAAUUCACUUUUAAUGCAUCUUCAACUAGUAAUUUAUUUGGAAACAGUAUGAAUAUGUUUGGAAAAAAUAAUAAAGAAACUACUGAUGGUAGUACUACUAAUACUAUUAACAAUCAUUUGACACUUUUUGGAAAUAAUACAAAAAAUAAUUUAUUGGAUACAAAUAACACCGAUAGUUCACUAACCACAAGUGGUAAUAAUCUAUUUCGUAAUUUAAAUAAUAAUACUACAACAAACCAAAUAAAUAAUGCAUCAGUUUUAAAUAUACCAACAAAAAAAUUAACCUUAGAAGAAAGAAAAAAAAAAAACUGCUAAAAAUAAAAGUAUUGUUUCAUUAUUUUCA
Long non-coding RNA from Piliocolobus tephrosceles (Ugandan red Colobus), 2836 nucleotides. NCBI's taxonomy places the organism in Eukaryota, Metazoa, Chordata, Mammalia, Primates, Cercopithecidae. The record is from Ensembl.